AUGACACCGCAGCCCCCUCCCCUGCUGCCUUCUGCGAGCUCUGCGCUGCUGCAGCGGCGCAGGAGGAGGAGGAGGUGGCGGCGGCGGCAUCGCCGCCGGGUGCUUAGCGGCUUCUUCCUACAGAUCUCCAAUAGAGUCGACACUGCUACUCUUCCCUGUAUUCAAGUCAAUGCAACAUCUGUCUGUAGCCAGUUUCAGCCUGAUGGCUGCGCCAGGAAAGGAUGGAGGAAGAAUACUGAGAAGAACGUAGGAGCUUUUAGUCUGAAUUACCUUUGGCUGCUCUCACAAUUUGACCACCCGUCUUUCUGUCAAAGACCUCUAAUGUCCAUGUUGAUGGGAAUAACGGCAGUUUGGUAUAUCACCUUACUACUGGGGCGUGCAGUGUUGUACGUAAUGUUAUCUUAUUCCAGAAACCAUGGCACAGUCCUUCAGUUCUGUUCACUGUUUACCUAUAAUUAACUUGAUUACAAAAUACCCUACUGUUUUUUUUUCAAAUAUUCUGUAAAUUCAUUUUUCUCUGAGAGUGAAGACGGGCCUAGUGGUUAAACCUUGUGACUGGAAGUUGCUGAGGGAGAUGUACCUGACACCGGUUUGAAGUGUGAUCUUAGAGAAGCUACUUUACUUGUCCAUGGCUUAGUUGCUCCAUCUGUGAAGUGGGGAAUUAUACUUGUGGGCACCAUACAUUCAUUACAACAGGGUUAUUGUAAUGAUUAAACUACAUAAAGUGCCUUUGGAUGGAUGUGUACAAGUACUAUUUCUAUCCUCUCCGUAUUCCUGCUCAUUCACAUCUGAAAGGAG
RNAcentral lists this long non-coding RNA (798 nucleotides) under Crocodylus porosus (Australian saltwater crocodile). RNAcentral's name for it is "lncRNA (ENSCPRG00005004952.1)". The record is from RNAcentral. Lineage: Eukaryota; Metazoa; Chordata; Crocodylia; Crocodylidae.